Molecule: long non-coding RNA, 1247 nt
Organism: Gallus gallus (chicken)
Lineage: Eukaryota; Metazoa; Chordata; Aves; Galliformes; Phasianidae
Source: Ensembl
AAAGUGGUUAUUCUGCUACAGAAAGCUGCCUCAAACUGCUCUUCUGGUUAGCCUCUCUGGAAACAGGCUCAGUGGGAGACUUUAAUCACCUAAUCAAACAAGUAAUAGAAAUGAUUAAUGAUUCCUAACCUGUUCAAACCCAGCAUCUCUCGGGGUCUGCUUCAUCACCUGAACUUACAAGAUCUACAUCUGCCAGCUUGGCUCAGUCAACGUCAUCAGCCUACCUAACCUGAACAAUUUGGAGUGAUGAUGCAGAAUUGUCUGUGUAAGAAGUUGCAUCUAUUUUGUGGUCUCUCCUGAUUAGCUUGCCCUGGCCUUAAUUUUCAUUCUGCCGGAGAAAAACAAGAUUGCUCUCCUGAGCUUUCUCGACUCCAGCAAAUUGAGCUGAUCCCCCUACUCGCAGGAAGGACCUUGUCAGAGGCCACUGCUUGAAUUUUCCCAGAAUUAGAAUAGUUUUUUGUGAAACAACAGCAACAACACUCGCUCAGCCAGAUGGAAAGUGAAGAGACACAUCAUUUGGAUACCUGUCUGCAUCUCUGUUGAAGAAACUAGCACGUGUACAGUUCUCAAGGGGGCAGAGGAGGAACAAAGCCUUGCCAUCAAGUCGGUUCCAGCAGACAGAAAUCAAUAUUUCCUGCAGAAUUCUUCUAGCGCUAUCAGGAAAGUGACAAUACAGAUAUCAUCAGUUUAAAUGAGAAGAAAGGGGUGAUAGUAGAACAUGGAAGAAGUGAAUAUAUUAAGACAAAGUUCAAAGUAACAUAACCAGCCAGCCAGACCUAGAGAAAGCCAUGCUGCAUGGAAACCUGUGUCCUAGGAUAUUGCUUAGGCUUCACAGGCAGCAAAGAGAGACGCACAACUAUCCAGCCUUUCUCUGCAACUGAAGUGAAUUGAUCUCCAAGCAUGCUAAUACAUCCCCUAAAUUUUAUGAGAAAGUUUUCCAGUACUUUCAACAAAUGCCAACAACAUACAAGACCUGGAGGCUUAGUAGCUAGGUGUGAUAUGGACAUUGCAUCUUAAUUUUAACAUUUGAAUAAGCUUAUAUCUCUGGCUAGUCAGCCACCUGUCAAGACUUUUUAAAAAAAAAAAAUAGCCCUCAGGAAAGCCUGGAAAAUGAAGUAUACAGACCUACAAACACAGAAUAAAUUAAGCAAAGACUUUUACCAAGCCCAUUUGCUGUAAGCACAGCAGCAGUAAUUUCUCUUCAGAUGCACUAUUAGCCCUUCAUGCUCUCAGUUGCUUUUCUGUCG